Molecule: non-coding RNA, 30 nt
Filed under: Rattus norvegicus (Norway rat)
Lineage: Eukaryota; Metazoa; Chordata; Mammalia; Rodentia; Muridae
Source: RNAcentral
UCCAGAUUUGUUUGUCUAGAAGAGAGGGCA